Macrobrachium nipponense is the source of this 482-nucleotide long non-coding RNA. RefSeq lists it as uncharacterized. NCBI's taxonomy places the organism in Eukaryota, Metazoa, Arthropoda, Malacostraca, Decapoda, Palaemonidae. The transcript has 4 exons. The record is from RefSeq and is a predicted model, not a curated record.
AGAGGAGUCUCUGUGUCUGUGGUCUCUUAGUUCUGAGGUGGCCACAGGACGAGGCGGACAGAUCUUUCAGUCGGUGGUUGCGUACUGAAUCACUUAAGAAGAAGAAGAAGAAGACGAUAGCGAUACCACUUCAGCGCACCACUCGUUUCUCAUGUUCACAAAAGCACGGGGAGCCCUCCCUCUCUAAUUGAGGAGCUACGUCUAUCGCCAUGCGUCGCAUUACGGCGUUGAUGACGUUGCUUGUGGCAACGUCGUCGGCCACCCGCACAGAGGACACAGAACAUCCCUGCAAAGUCAUGCGCGUCGACGCGGACGUCGAGAAUUCGACGCUGUCGGUGACGUACAACACUACGGUGGUCGACAGAAAGGCCUGUGGCGACGCUGAUCCCAUUUGCAACAUUUUCCGGGACUCAGGUCGAUCUUACGCUAUACUAAAGGAUGCAGUGAACGGCCGAGAUCUCAAAGACAUCGACCAUAUCGAG